GCAGCCAUUGCUGUGAGGACCAAGAAUUCCCUCAAAAACAGGUAAUAAAAUCUCCAUCUGUAUUUUUGUUCCCUUGAAUUUUAAAUGUAUCAGUGCUUGUCUGAUUGAAUGCAAUGAACCAUCUGCAACAGGGAACAGGAGAAGUGUGCAUUCCUCUUACAAGAAGCACCUCAUGAAAGAAGAAGUGAAAAGCAAAUAUUUAUUUAAAGAAAGGGCUGCAAAGUGAUGGAGAGAUUUGAGGGGUUUACCAGUUUUCCUG
Long non-coding RNA from Neopelma chrysocephalum (saffron-crested tyrant-manakin), 259 nucleotides. RefSeq lists it as uncharacterized. The record is from RefSeq and is a predicted model, not a curated record. The transcript is spliced from 3 exons. NCBI's taxonomy places the organism in Eukaryota, Metazoa, Chordata, Aves, Passeriformes, Pipridae.